Molecule: ribosomal RNA, 317 nt
Filed under: uncultured bacterium
Lineage: Bacteria
Description: bacterial SSU rRNA
Rfam family: Bacterial small subunit ribosomal RNA
Source: RNAcentral
GAGUUUGAUCCUGGCUCAGGAUGAACGCUAGCUACAGGCCUAACACAUGCAAGUCGAGGGGCAGCGGGAAGGAAGCUUGCUUUCUUCGCCGGCGACCGGCGCACGGGUGCGUAACGCGUAUCGAACCUACCCUUUACUCGGGAACAGCCUUGCGAAAGCAAAGAUUAAUGCCCGAUGUUCCGCGUUUGCUGCAUGGCAAAUUCGGCAAAGAUUUAUUGGUAAAGGAUGGCGAUGCGUCCCAUUAGUUAGUUGGCGGGUAACGGCCCACCAAGACGACGAUUGGUAGCCGGACUGAGAGGUUGAACGGCCACAUUGGG